Molecule: long non-coding RNA, 212 nt
Filed under: Capsicum annuum
Lineage: Eukaryota; Viridiplantae; Streptophyta; Magnoliopsida; Solanales; Solanaceae
Description: long non-coding RNA (CANN_LNC004452)
Source: RNAcentral
UCUUCUUCUUCUUCCUCACACCCCACCACCCCAUUUUUCUUCUUCUUCCUUAUAAAUCUAAACAUAUAGAGAGAUGGGAUCAAUUAUUGUAGUGUAGUGCUUGCACCCAAAACAAUUUCAAGAAGGAAAAAAGGAAACAUAAAUUCAACAAAUACAAAUUUCAAACAUCAUGAUUUUAAUUUCACAACAAACACAAAUUCAAUCGUAAAAAU